This 1485-nucleotide ribosomal RNA is filed under the name metagenome. Its description in RNAcentral is "bacterial LSU rRNA". It matches the Rfam family "Bacterial large subunit ribosomal RNA", at positions 1463 to 2925 of the family's 2925-position model. The record is from RNAcentral.
GAUGGAGGGACGGAGAAGGCUAGGCCAGCUUGGCGUUGGUUGUCCAAGUUUAAGGUGGUAGGCUGAGAUCUUAGGUAAAUCCGGGAUCUUAAGGCCGAGAGCUGAUGACGAGUUAACUUUUAGUUAACGAAGUGGUUGAUGCCAUGCUUCCAAGAAAAGCUUCUAAGCUUCAGGUAACCAGGAACCGUACCCCAAACCGACACAGGUGGUUGGGUAGAGAAUACCAAGGCGCUUGAGAGAACUCGGGUGAAGGAACUAGGCAAAAUGGCACCGUAACUUCGGGAGAAGGUGCGCCGGUGAGGGUGAAGGACUUGCUCCGUAAGCUCAUGCCGGUCGAAGAUACCAGGCCGCUGCGACUGUUUAUUAAAAACACAGCACUCUUCAAACACGAAAGUGGACGUAUAGGGUGUGACGCCUCCCCGGUGCCGGAAGGUUAAUUGAUGGGGUUAGCUAACGCGAAGCUCUUGAUCGAAGCCCCGGUAAACGGCGGCCGUAACGAUAACGGUCCUAAGGUAGCGAAAUUCCUUGUCGGGUAAGUUCCGACCUGCACGAAUGGCGUAACGAUGGCGGCGCUGUCUCCACCCGAGACUCAGUGAAAUUGAAAUCGCUGUGAAGAUGCAGUGUAUCCGCGGCUAGACGGAAAGACCCCGUGAACCUUUACUAUAGCUUUGCACUGGACUUUGAAUUUGCUUGUGUAGGAUAGGUGGGAGGCUUUGAAGUGUGGACGCCAGUCUGCAUGGAGCCAACCUUGAAAUACCACCCUGGCAACUUUGAGGUUCUAACUCAGGUCCGUUAUCCGGAUCGAGGACAGUGUAUGGUGGGUAGUUUGACUGGGGCGGUCUCCUCCUAAAGAGUAACGGAGGAGUACGAAGGUGCGCUCAGACCGGUCGGAAAUCGGUCGUAGAGUAUAAAGGCAAAAGCGCGCUUGACUGCGAGACAGACACGUCGAGCAGGUACGAAAGUAGGUCUUAGUGAUCCGGUGGUUCUGUAUGGAAGGGCCAUCGCUCAACGGAUAAAAGGUACUCCGGGGAUAACAGGCUGAUACCGCCCAAGAGUUCAUAUCGACGGCGGUGUUUGGCACCUCGAUGUCGGCUCAUCACAUCCUGGGGCUGAAGCCGGUCCCAAGGGUAUGGCUGUUCGCCAUUUAAAGUGGUACGCGAGCUGGGUUUAGAACGUCGUGAGACAGUUCGGUCCCUAUCUGCCGUGGACGUUUGAGAUUUGAGAGGGGCUGCUCCUAGUACGAGAGGACCGGAGUGGACGAACCUCUGGUGUUCCGGUUGUCACGCCAGUGGCAUUGCCGGGUAGCUAUGUUCGGAAUAGAUAACCGCUGAAAGCAUCUAAGCGGGAAACUAGCCUCAAGAUGAGAUCUCACUGGAACCUUGAGUUCCCUGAAGGGCCGUCGAAGACUACGACGUUGAUAGGUUGGGUGUGUAAGCGCUGUGAGGCGUUGAGCUAACCAAUACUAAUUGCCCGUGAGGCUUGACC